CGGCGUCUUCAGCCAUGUUUAUACUACACCGUCACUACUAAUACUGGCUUAGCUCGCUAGUUUUAUGACAUUAACGGAAAUAAGCGAAAAAGGUAUGAUGUUUACAAAUAAAAUAUCGAUAUUUCUAUUCCAAAAGAUGACAUCCAACACAAAUCUACGAACAUAUUCAGGAAAUCAGAUUCCAAAUUGAAUUCUUGAAGGUCACCAUCUUCAAUACUAGAUUAAAGGCCACUACGUUGACCCCACCAAGAUGACAUCGGAUGAACAGGACGGGAGAAAAACGACACUGGGCGUCGCAGACGGGUCUAUCCAUCACCGACGUGCCAAAGCACAGACGAGAUUGAGUCUGAAGUGUCCUCAGAAACACCUGUUACUGCAAAAUGCCAUGUUUGCAUUAUAAUACAGAAUCAGCGCUGCUUCUGAAACUUGCUGCCUGUUGAUUAACGACCUGAAAACAAGAGAUUUUAGUAUUGACAUACUGAAGGACCAGAGUUGAUGCAGACGUGACCCGAAAGUUAUAAACCCUGACAAAUCGAGAGCGAUAGAG
Long non-coding RNA from Labeo rohita (rohu), 547 nucleotides. RefSeq lists it as uncharacterized. The transcript is spliced from 4 exons. NCBI's taxonomy places the organism in Eukaryota, Metazoa, Chordata, Actinopteri, Cypriniformes, Cyprinidae. The record is from RefSeq and is a predicted model, not a curated record.